Molecule: ribosomal RNA, 240 nt
Filed under: uncultured bacterium
Lineage: Bacteria
Description: partial 16S ribosomal RNA
Rfam family: Bacterial small subunit ribosomal RNA
Source: RNAcentral
UACGAAGGGUGCAAGCGUUACUCGGAAUUACUGGGCGUAAAGCGUGCGUAGGUGGUUGUUAAGUCUGAUGUGAAAGCCCUGGCUCAACCUGGAAUUGCAUUGGAUACUGGCAGGCUAGAGUGCGGUAGAGGAUGGCGGAAUUCCGGUGUAGCAGUGAAAUGCGUAGAGAUCGGAGGAACAUCUGUGGCGAAGGCGGCCAUCUGGACCAGCACUGACACUGAGGCACGAAAGCGUGGGAGC